Molecule: non-coding RNA, 249 nt
Filed under: Enterococcus termitis
Lineage: Bacteria; Bacillati; Bacillota; Bacilli; Lactobacillales; Enterococcaceae
Description: T-box sequence
Rfam family: T-box leader
About the family: Uncharged tRNA acts as the effector for transcription antitermination of genes in the T-box leader family.
Source: RNAcentral
CAAAACUCAUUGAAAAGAAGAGUAAGCAAAUAAACAAUUCCCUUAACAACAUUCUUGUUAAGACUAGAGAGCUUUCAUUUGGUGAAAGAAAGCAAUGGUUAUUUGUUGAAGAUGGUCUUGGAGAGGAAAAAUCAAGUUGAUUUUUACGGCAGCUACCGUUAAAAAGGCACCAAACCAUAAAAAAUGUGUUGUUUGGAUCGAGAUGGAAUUAUUUCCAAUAAAGGUGGUACCGCGAUCAUCGCCCUUUAC